GAUGAACGCUGGCGGCGUGCCUAACACAUGCAAGUCGAGCGAGGAGACGCGUAGCUUGCUCUCCUUACGUUAGCGGCGGAUAGGUGAGUAACACGCGGCUACCCUACCUAUAAGACCUGCAUAACUUCGGGACACCUGAGCUAAUACCGGCUCAUAUAUUGAACGGCAUGGUUCAAUAGUGUAAGACGGUUUUGUUGUCACUUAUAGUUUGAUCCGCGCCGCAUUAGCUUGUUGGUAAGGUAACGGCUUACCAAGGCGACGAUGCGUAGCCGACCGGAGAGGGUGGUCGGCCACACGGGAACUGGGACACGGUCCAGACUCCUGCGGGAGGCAGCAGUAGGGAAUCUGCCGCAAUGGGCGAAAGCUUGACGGAGCAACGCCGCGUGAGUGAUGAAGGUCUUCGGAUCGUAAAGCUCUGUUAUUAGGGAAGAACUAAUGUGUACGUAACUAUGCACGUAUUGACGGUACCUGAUCAGAAAGCCACGGCUAACUACGUG
This 497-nucleotide ribosomal RNA is filed under the name uncultured bacterium. RNAcentral describes it as "partial 16S ribosomal RNA". It matches the Rfam family "Bacterial small subunit ribosomal RNA", at positions 28 to 507 of the family's 1533-position model. The record is from RNAcentral.